GGCUGUCAAUGGCCUGCCAGAGUUCUAUAAAAAGAACUCUUGGGCCCUGAUCCUUUUAUCUCAGAUGUGCUUAAGCUUCAUCAGAGGAAGUUUGAGUCGCAAGACUGAGAUCUUCAGUCUCAUCUGGAUCACCUUGACAUUGGAUUGUAACCUAUGGGCUAAUUCUAAAAGAACUCUUUGCAGCUCUAAAGCUCACCAUCUCUACUAUAAAGCUGACCUAAGAACUCUAUUCAUGUCUGCUCUGUGUCAAAUCCUGUCUGAUUCUUACCAUGGCAAAGGUGCAGCUCUCACAUCCUCUGAGACCAGAAAUUUUUCCAUGUUUCCACUUUUGAUAGUAUUCUUUUGCAAGGACUUGACCUACUAAGGCCCAAUAAGACUGAUGCAUGACUUCUGCUGGUAGCAAAGGGAGUCUACUCAAUCCCUGAUCGUUGAUAUUGGCAAAGAGUGAUGCAAAAGAUCAGGAUUCUAGUAAGUUUCACUUCAGAACAAAUUGAAAAGAGGGAGCAGCUGGUGAAGCAGAAGCAAACUACACCUUUGGUGAAAGAGAACACAAAUGAGAAGAAGUAGCAAACGACACAGAAUUGGAGAAGUGGACACAAUGUAGCAUGAAGAGAAGGGUUAUGGCUAAUAGUUAUUGCAUUAAAAGUGUACUCUUAAAA
Molecule: long non-coding RNA, 659 nt
Organism: Chelonia mydas (Green sea turtle)
Lineage: Eukaryota; Metazoa; Chordata; Testudines; Cheloniidae
Exons: 4
Source: RefSeq, a predicted model, not a curated record